RNAcentral lists this long non-coding RNA (280 nucleotides) under Lathyrus oleraceus (garden pea). RNAcentral describes it as "Pisum sativum (pea) long non-coding RNA (PSAT_LNC041520)". Lineage: Eukaryota; Viridiplantae; Streptophyta; Magnoliopsida; Fabales; Fabaceae. The record is from RNAcentral.
UUGCGUGAGCCGAGCUACGAGUGCUCUGAUUCUUCUCUAGUCCGAGAAGAUACGUAUGCAUAGGAUGCGACAUCCUAGCGAGCACAUUUUCCCCUGUCCGAACUACGUCGACUCUGAUGUCUGUGCCUGACAGACUACGUAGGCCCAGGAUGCGAUAUCCUGCCGAGUCAGUUUCUUUUGUUUUCCUGUGUCUCUUUCAGCCAGUGUUUGAUGUUUGUUUGUGAGCAGUUUUUAGCAACCAUAUUCCUUCCUUUUGUGCGUGGAUCCCGUCGAGUACGAC